Long non-coding RNA from Gallus gallus (chicken), 727 nucleotides. NCBI's taxonomy places the organism in Eukaryota, Metazoa, Chordata, Aves, Galliformes, Phasianidae. The record is from Ensembl.
CCUCGUUUCACCCCACAAGUCAGAAGCCAUGGCAGCUUCCAACUGGAAGGCACAGAGGAGGCUUUGCAGCCAAACGGUUAAAGCAGAAUGUUUUCUCUGGAGGCUCGGAGUGGAGCUGGGGCACUGCCACCCUCCCAGCCACGCCGAGGUGGUGGGACGCGUGACACCGCAAUUACACACGCGGAAGAAAGGAAGGCUGAGAUAUAGGCCUGCAUGGGAAGGCUGCAUGACGCUGAACCCAAUGCGAAAUGAGCGUUUCCUGCUUUGAAGUAAUGUAAUGUCAGGAAUCCGGCUGGUUGGAAACACCCUGCUUGUCCGGGGCUCCAGGUGAACCAGUGCACCUCCCGGAGGCCGCGAGGGACCGUCUGCAACUCAGGCCAAACUGGAGAGACUUUCCAGAGCCACUACUGCAGCUGCACUCAGCCCGACAAGAGGCUGCGCGCACAGCGGGUGCUGCCCUGUGGGCUCCAUGGCUGCAGGAGGAAAGCAGAUCCUCGCCGAGAGCUCCGCACAUCCAAUGCACAGACCUGCACAGAUACCCUUCAUCCCAUACAAGGAGAUGGCCAGAGGGGAGAAGGAACUCACCAGCGUUCGCUCCCCUCAGUUUCUGAGUAGGCAAUUAUCUUAGAAGAGACAAAUGUCAAGAUAGCUUUCACCCUGAGAGGAGAUGAGAUCUCCAAGCCUGCAAAUCCAAAGGGUCUUAGGAGGGCACCCCCGUCAAACCUUG